Molecule: transfer-messenger RNA, 359 nt
Filed under: Burkholderiales
Lineage: Bacteria; Pseudomonadati; Pseudomonadota; Betaproteobacteria
Also listed under: 1 other name
Description: S2-27 sp023721835 Standard tmRNA
Rfam family: transfer-messenger RNA
About the family: Bacterial tmRNA, also known as 10Sa RNA or SsrA, is named for its dual tRNA and mRNA-like properties. Its role is to liberate the mRNA from a stalled ribosome. To accomplish this part of the tmRNA is used as a reading frame that ends in a translation stop signal.
Source: RNAcentral
GGGGCCGACCUGGUUUCGACGUGGGUGCGGAAUCAGAGCGGUGCAUGCCGAGCACCAGUACGCUCGUAAAUCCACUGGAUCAAAGUAACUGCGAACGACGAACGUUUCGCCCUCGCCGCUUAACACCGGUGAGCCUCUCAACGGUUGGCCGAUAGGCCGGGCCCGCAAGGGCUGAGAGGUCAUACAUAUCGGCUGGUGGUGCGCCGGGUCACUCGGUGCAUCACGAGAUCAAGUGACUGGCGUCGUUGGUAGCGUGCUCCUGCGCGACCGCGGCGUGAGACUCAAAUCAGUGAGCUAAGCAUGUAGAUCUGCCUGAGGAUGGCUUGCGGACGCGGGUUCAAUUCCCGCCGGCUCCACCA